GAUGAAGAACGCAGCGAAAUGCGAUAAGUAAUGUGAAUUGCAGAAUUUAGUGAAUCAUCGAAUAUUUGAACGCACAUUGCGCCCCCUGGUAUUCCGGGGGGCAUGCCUGUCCGAGCGUCAUUACAACCCUCAAGCUCAGCUUGGUGUUGGGCCCCGCCGCCCCGGCGGGCCCUAAAGUCAGUGGCGGUGCCGUCCGGCUCCGAGCGUAGUAAUUCUUCUCGCUCUGGAGGUCCGGUCGUGUGCUCGCCAGCAACCCCCAAUUUUUUUCAGGUUGACCUCGGAUCAGGUAGGGAUACCCGCUGAACUUAAGCAUAUCAAUAAGCGGAGGA
Molecule: unclassified non-coding RNA, 329 nt
Filed under: soil metagenome
Description: partial contains 5.8S ribosomal RNA, internal transcribed spacer 2, and large subunit ribosomal RNA
Rfam family: 5.8S ribosomal RNA (bases 1-120)
Source: RNAcentral